RNAcentral lists this ribosomal RNA (458 nucleotides) under uncultured Desulfovibrio sp. Its description in RNAcentral is "bacterial SSU rRNA". It matches the Rfam family "Bacterial small subunit ribosomal RNA", at positions 925 to 1374 of the family's 1533-position model. The record is from RNAcentral. Lineage: Bacteria; Pseudomonadati; Thermodesulfobacteriota; Desulfovibrionia; Desulfovibrionales; Desulfovibrionaceae.
ACAAGCGGUGGAGUAUGUGGUUUAAUUCGACGCAACGCGCAGAACCUUACCUAGGCUUGACAUCCCGGGAAUUUGCUGGAAACAGUGAAGUGCUUUCAUUAGAAAGAGCCCGGUGACAGGUGCUGCAUGGCUGUCGUCAGCUCGUGUCGUGAGAUGUUGGGUUAAGUCCCGCAACGAGCGCAACCCUCGCCUUUAGUUGCCAGCAUUCAGUUGGGCACUCUAAAGGGACUGCCGGUGUCAAACCGGAGGAAGGUGGGAUGACGUCAAGUCCUCAUGGCCUUUAUGUCUAGGGCUACACACGUACUACAAUGGCAGGUACAAAGGGCAGCGACACAGCGAUGUGAUGCGAAUCCCGAAAAGCCUGUCUCAGUCCGGAUCGGAGUCUGCAACUCGACUCCGUGAAGUUGGAAUCGCUAGUAAUCGUGGAUCAGCAUGCCACGUCGAUACGUUCCGGCCUU